This 409-nucleotide long non-coding RNA is filed under the name Bos taurus (domestic cattle). RNAcentral describes it as "long non-coding RNA NONBTAT026800". Lineage: Eukaryota; Metazoa; Chordata; Mammalia; Artiodactyla; Bovidae. The record is from RNAcentral.
AGUGACCGGGGGUCCCUCUUGAACCCAGUUUAUUAACAUUCAGUAAAAGAAAUAUUCGUUGUUACAAACAGGCAGUGCAUCAAGAUAUCCAGACAUCAAUGAGAACUAGGAUUGGAGAGGUCACAAUCCAGGCAAUCCCAUGAUGUCUCAGGGAUAAGGAAGGGGAAGCUAGGGCACAUCCAGGGGCCAUGCUUCCCAUUUUUCACUGGGAGAGAAAGAACUCUUAUACCUGGGGUAAGGAUGUACUGCAGUUUCCAACUUCUUCCCUUUGUCCCCCAGCCAUUUUAUUUAACAUGACCUAAGUAUACAUUCUUGGUUCCCGCCAGCAAGCCAUCACCCUAAUAGUCACUGUUCCCCCAAAGUUCCAUCCAUGUGUGAGCUGGAGCACAGCAGGGGAGUGGGAAUGGUG